CAUAUCAAAAAGCGGAGGAAAAGAAACCAACAGGGAUUGCCCUAGUAACGGCGAGUGAAGCGGCAACAGCUCAAAUUUGAAAGCUGGCUCCGGCCCGCAUUGUAAUUUGCAGAGGAUGCUUUUGGCGAGGUGCCUUCCGAGUUCCCUGGAACGGGACGCCAUAGAGGGUGAGAGCCCCGUAUGGAUGGACACCAAACCUGUGUAAAGCUCCUUCAACGAGUCGAGUAGUUUGGGAAUGCUGCUCUAAAUGGGAGGUAAAUCUCUUCUAAAGCUAAAUACCGGCCAGAGACCGAUAGCGCACAAGUAGAGUGAUCGAAAGAUGAAAAGCACCUUGAAAAGGGGGUUAAACAGUACGUGAAAUUGUUGAAAGGGAAGCGCUUGUGACCAGACUUGCGCCGGGCAGCUCAUCAGGGGUUCUCCCCUGUGCACUCUGCCCGGCUCAGGCCAGCAUCGGUUCUCGUGGGAGGAUAAGAACAGUGGGAACGUGGCCCCCUCUCGGGGGGGUGUUAUAGCCCAUUGUACGAUACUCUCGUGGGGACCGAGGUUCGCGCUCCGCAAGGAUGCUGGCGUAAUGGUCAUCAGCGACCCGUCUUGAAACACGGACCAAAU
RNAcentral lists this ribosomal RNA (609 nucleotides) under Cytospora hoffmannii. RNAcentral's name for it is "eukaryotic LSU rRNA". It matches the Rfam family "Eukaryotic large subunit ribosomal RNA", at positions 39 to 671 of the family's 3401-position model. The record is from RNAcentral. Lineage: Eukaryota; Fungi; Ascomycota; Sordariomycetes; Diaporthales; Cytosporaceae.